UUGUGCACCACUGAGUCCUAGUAAGCUAUCGCAGAUAUAGAGACUAGAGGAGAGAGUAAGCUACUAAGGAUCAUGGAGCUGCAUCCCGAAGGUUUUGUCAGGUAUAAUUUUAUACCAUGUUCGUAAUGUUUAUAUUUGUGUAUGUAACUGUACGUACAUGUAUAAACUGGUCUUGAGCAGUUCUAUAGAUUUUGUAAUAAUAUUAAUUUGAAUUUUCUAAUGUAAAUUUUGAGUUAAUGGAUGUAAAU
RNAcentral lists this unclassified non-coding RNA (248 nucleotides) under Hevea brasiliensis (rubber tree). Lineage: Eukaryota; Viridiplantae; Streptophyta; Magnoliopsida; Malpighiales; Euphorbiaceae. The record is from RNAcentral.